This is a long non-coding RNA of Gossypium arboreum, 363 nucleotides long. RefSeq lists it as uncharacterized. Lineage: Eukaryota; Viridiplantae; Streptophyta; Magnoliopsida; Malvales; Malvaceae. The record is from RefSeq and is a predicted model, not a curated record. The transcript has 2 exons.
GAAAAAGGGGUGAAAAGAACAAAUUUUUGUCCAUCUUUGUUCAUCAUAGCCUAAAGUUAGAGAAGAGAAAGGAGAGGAGAAAGCUCUUGAAUGUUCGGUCACUUGGGGAAGAAAAUUGAAGGAAAUCCCCAACCAUAGUGGGCUUGGAGCUGUGAGGGAAUUCGGAGUGGCCACCCGUUCCGAAAGUUUGGUUUUCUUCUGGUGAAGUGGACAUCCUAUUAUUUACGUUGAGGUUUGGGUUUUUAAAUGUAAUAAGGCCGCUUAAUUAUUUUUUAUGAUUUUAAUAUGUAUUACUAAGAUAAGUAUUACUUAUUUUAACUGUUGAAAUUGGAUACCUUUAGGGCGCGUUUUCAAAAACAACAA